This 1153-nucleotide ribosomal RNA is filed under the name Escherichia coli. RNAcentral's name for it is "partial 23S ribosomal RNA". It matches the Rfam family "Bacterial large subunit ribosomal RNA", at positions 1 to 1194 of the family's 2925-position model. The record is from RNAcentral. Lineage: Bacteria; Pseudomonadati; Pseudomonadota; Gammaproteobacteria; Enterobacterales; Enterobacteriaceae.
GUUAAGCGACUAAGCGUACACGGUGGAUGCCCUGGCAGUCAGAGGCGAUGAAGGACGUGCUAAUCUGCGAUAAGCGUCGGUAAGGUGAUAUGAACCGUUAUAACCGGCGAUUUCCGAAUGGGGAAACCCAGUGUGAUUCGUCACACUAUCAUUAACUGAAUCCAUAGGUUAAUGAGGCGAACCGGGGGAACUGAAACAUCUAAGUACCCCGAGGAAAAGAAAUCAACCGAGAUUCCCCCAGUAGCGGCGAGCGAACGGGGAGCAGCCCAGAGCCUGAAUCAGUGUGUGUGUUAGUGGAAGCGUCUGGAAAGGCGCGCGAUACAGGGUGACAGCCCCGUACACAAAAAUGCACAUGCUGUGAGCUCGAUGAGUAGGGCGGGACACGUGGUAUCCUGUCUGAAUAUGGGGGGACCAUCCUCCAAGGCUAAAUACUCCUGACUGACCGAUAGUGAACCAGUACCGUGAGGGAAAGGCGAAAAGAACCCCGGCGAGGGGAGUGAAAAAGAACCUGAAACCGUGUACGUACAAGCAGUGGGAGCACAGAGCAAUCUGUGUGACUGCGUACCUUUUGUAUAAUGGGUCAGCGACUUAUAUUCUGUAGCAAGGUUAACCGAAUAGGGGAGCCGAAGGGAAACCGAGUCUUAACUGGGCGUUAAGUUGCAGGGUAUAGACCCGAAACCCGGUGAUCUAGCCAUGGGCAGGUUGAAGGUUGGGUAACACUAACUGGAGGACCGAACCGACUAAUGUUGAAAAAUUAGCGGAUGACUUGUGGCUGGGGGUGAAAGGCCAAUCAAACCGGGAGAUAGCUGGUUCUCCCCGAAAGCUAUUUAGGUAGCGCCUCGUGAAUUCAUCUCCGGGGGUAGAGCACUGUUUCGGCAAGGGGGUCAUCCCGACUUACCAACCCGAUGCAAACUGCGAAUACCGGAGAAUGUUAUCACGGGAGACACACGGCGGGUGCUAACGUCCGUCGUGAAGAGGGAAACAACCCAGACCGCCAGCUAAGGUCCCAAAGUCAUGGUUAAGUGGGAAACGAUGUGGGAAGGCCCAGACAGCCAGGAUGUUGGCUUAGAAGCAGCCAUCAUUUAAAGAAAGCGUAAUAGCUCACUGGUCGAGUCGGCCUGCGCGGAAGAUGUAACGGGGCUAAACCAUGCAC